Molecule: ribosomal RNA, 489 nt
Filed under: uncultured bacterium
Lineage: Bacteria
Description: partial 16S ribosomal RNA
Rfam family: Bacterial small subunit ribosomal RNA
Source: RNAcentral
GACGAACGCUGGCGGCGUGCUUAACACAUGCAAGUCGAACGGUGAAGGGAUCAGCUUGCUGGUUCUGGAUGAGUGGCGAACGGGUGAGUAACACGUGAGUAACCUGCCCCCUUCUUCUGGAUAACCGCAUGAAAGUGUGGCUAAUACGGGAUAUUCUGCGCCUGCUGCAUGGUGGGUGUGGGAAAGAUAUUGUUUCGGUGGGGGAUGGGCUCGCGGCCUAUCAGCUUGUUGGUGGGGCGAUGGCCUACCAAGGCGGUGACGGGUAGCCGGCAUGAGAGGGUGGCCGGUCACACUGGGACUGAGACACGGCCCAGACUCCUACGGGAGGCAGCAGUGGGGAAUAUUGCACAAUGGGCGCAAGCCUGAUGCAGCCACGCCGCGUGAGGGAUGGAGGCCUUCGGGUUGUGAACCUCUUUCGCAAGUGAAGCAGGCCUGUCCCUUGUGGGUGGGUUGACGGUAGCUGGAUAAGAAGCGCCGGCUAACUACGUG